GACAAAUAGAGUGAAAGUGACUGGAAUGUCAACAUGUACCUUCGUUUAUCUGUAGUUUAUCAGAUACCAGUCAAGACUAAGAUGAAUCUGUGCUAAGGGUGCAGCAGCCUUCUCACUGUCCUAACUGGGCUCAGUUUCUAACAGGGCAAGGGUUUGUCUUCAUCAGGCAUGUUGCUGAAAAGGUGAUAGCUUCCCCCAGAUAGCCAGGCUGUUGCAGGAGGCCGUGUCUGUUCUGCAGGAAACGUGGGGGGAAUUCUGACUGCCUAUACCUCAUGCCUUACAUACACCAGAGGGGAAUACAUCAGUCCCUGGUUUUCAUUUAGAGCUGCUUGCUCUGAUUCUAUUAAGUAUUUAAAAAUAUUACAUGUUAAAUAUUUUAAAAUACUAAACAUUAAAAUAUUUUAAUAAGGUUUGGUUGUUAAAAGCAUUGAAGUAGAUCUUGUAGCCCUGGAAGGGCUUUUGCUUUUGACAACAAAGAGAAGAAACCCUUACUUUUACAAUGGGUUCGCACCUUUGUUUGUUUGUGGUGGGGUUUUUUUUGCCUCAUACAUUAGAAACUUUUGCAGUUCUGACAGAUGGAAAUUUAAUUGGAGGCCUGUACUGCUGGGAUGUUUACACGGCUGUUUGCAAAUACUCCCAUAUGUGAAAAUCCCUUCUGUGCUUCCCGAGGAAGUCUGGCAAUCAAAGUACGUGUUGGCAUCGUAGGAGACCCAGCUCGUGAGCUAGCAGUACCUCUGAGUUGUAACAGGUUACAUUCCCAAACAUCUACUCACCCUCAGGUGAGCUGGAACAAUUUGUUUCCUCAUCUGGCAUACAGAUGGCAAGCAGGCAAUUCAUUCCUCUUGGCCCUGUGCUCAGCAGCCACUGGAGUGGCUCCCAUCUUAGUGACAUGUGGAGGAAGGAAAAAAAAGAGCAUUUUAAAGGAAAAUAUGAGCAUAAACCCAUGAAAGCUGCUGUGGGAACUUCAGCAGGUGUAGCACUUAAAGCUGCAUUUCUUCCCUUUUGGUUUUACAUUGACUAGAUUACUUACUGACUGUGCUGCUUUUAUGUUACGUUUCCUGCUACAGUUUUCAGUGCACAAGCUGUAGGAGUUUUUUUAGCAAAAAUUUCCCCGUAGUAACUUCAUGGCUAAAAAUUCUUCUGGCCUACCCUUUCAGGCAGAGCAUACAGUGCAAAACAAGUAUGAAAGAGCAAAAAAAUGGCAAUUUCCCAAGCGGGAUUUCACGACCUGCUGCCUCUCUGCGGUAAGCACAGCUCUGCUCGGCUGGACUCGUGUUUCCCUUUUGCACCAGAGCACCUUGCAAAGCAUCAAGUGGGACAUGAGCUGCCCCAGCAGCAUCAAUGUUCGCUGCCUCCAUGUCCUGAAGUGCGGAAGGUGUAUUUUGUAAUGGAGCUCAGUGCUUUCCCUUUGGUUUAGUACUAACAGGUUCUGGGUUUAAGGGAAAGCAGAUCAGAAGUAACUUUGCUUUGAGGACGGUGCUGUGCUGAGAUCUGUGACCGUUUAAAAUCUUUAGCUUUAAUCUUGAUUUAUGUAUAUAUUAAUCCUGACAUGUACGCUAUAAAUUUUCUUUUGCCUUGCAUUGUUCAAACUUGCCUCAAAAUAAGGAUUCUGCCUGCGGGGGACAGGAGUGUAUCUGCGAAGCAAACAGCACUUGAUACAUCUCAGUCCCUUUCUGCUCUUAGUCAGUUGUUUUGGGGAGGGAAUGGGUCAUUAAUAAGAUAAGUCAAAUAGGGCAGCACAUAUAGGUAGUUAUCCCUAGAGAUUAGAAAUAUGCCCGAUUGGACAGAAAAGGAGACUCCUCUGAAACGUUCCCUGAGCAUGCAUCUGGCAUAGCUACACACCUCCUUCAUGGAACAAAGCAGCACAUGGUUGCAAGCUUAUCCUA
Long non-coding RNA from Anser brachyrhynchus (Pink-footed goose), 1886 nucleotides. NCBI's taxonomy places the organism in Eukaryota, Metazoa, Chordata, Aves, Anseriformes, Anatidae. The record is from Ensembl.